UACGGAGGUUGCAAGCGUUGUUCGGAUUUACUGGGCGUAAAGGGAGCGCAGGCGGUCGACUCAGUCUAAAGUGAAAGUCCGGGGCUCAACCCCGGAAGUGCUUUGGAUACUGGUUGACUUGAGUAUGUGAGAGGAGAGCGGAAUUCCAGGUGUAGCGGUGAAAUGCGUAGAUAUCUGGAGGAACACCGGUGGCGAAAGCGGCUCUCUGGCACAAAACUGACGCUGAGGCUCGAAAGCAUGGGGAGCGAAC
Molecule: ribosomal RNA, 250 nt
Filed under: uncultured bacterium
Lineage: Bacteria
Description: partial 16S ribosomal RNA
Rfam family: Bacterial small subunit ribosomal RNA
Source: RNAcentral